UGGGGAAUUUUGGACAAUGGGCGAAAGCCUGAUCCAGCAAUGCCGCGUGUGUGAAGAAGGCCUUCGGGUUGUAAAGCACUUUUGUCCGGAAAGAAAUCCUUGGCUCUAAUACAGUCGGGGGAUGACGGUACCGGAAGAAUAAGCGCCGGCUAACUACGUGCCAGCAGCCGCGGUAAUACGUAGGGUGCAAGCGUUAAUCGGAAUUACUGGGCGUAAAGCGUGCGCAGGCGGUUUGCUAAGACCGGUGUGAAAUCCCCGGGCUCAACCUGGGAACUGCAUUGGUGACUGGCAGGCUAGAGUAUGGCAGAGGGGGGUAGAAUUCCACGUGUAGCAGUGAAAUGCGUAGAGAUGUGGAGGAAUACCGAUGGCGAAGGCAGCCCCCUGGGCCAAAUACUGACGCUCAUGCACGAAAGCGUGGGGAGCAAACAGGAUUAGAUACCCUGGUAGUCCACGCCCUAAAACGAUGUCAACUAGUUGUUGGGGAUUCAUUUCCUUAGUAACGUAGCUAACGCGUGAAGUUGACCGCCUGGGGAGUACGGUCGCAAGAUUAAAACUUAAAUGAAUUGACGGGGUCAUAGCUGUUUCC
Molecule: ribosomal RNA, 586 nt
Filed under: uncultured bacterium
Lineage: Bacteria
Description: partial 16S ribosomal RNA
Rfam family: Bacterial small subunit ribosomal RNA
Source: RNAcentral